This 2718-nucleotide ribosomal RNA is filed under the name Escherichia coli. RNAcentral's name for it is "partial 23S ribosomal RNA". It matches the Rfam family "Bacterial large subunit ribosomal RNA". The record is from RNAcentral. Lineage: Bacteria; Pseudomonadati; Pseudomonadota; Gammaproteobacteria; Enterobacterales; Enterobacteriaceae.
GGACGUGCUAAUCUGCGAUAAGCGUCGGUGAGGUGAUAUGAACCGUUAUAACCGGCGAUUUCCGAAUGGGGAAACCCAGUGUGUUUCGACACACUAUCAUUAACUGAAUCCAUAGGUUAAUGAGGCGAACCGGGGGAACUGAAACAUCUAAGUACCCCGAGGAAAAGAAAUCAACCGAGAUUCCCCCAGUAGCGGCGAGCGAACGGGGAGGAGCCCAGAGCCUGAAUCAGUGUGUGUGUUAGUGGAAGCGUCUGGAAAGGCGCGCGAUACAGGGUGACAGCCCCGUACACAAAAAUGCACAUAUUGUGAGCUUGAUGAGUAGGGCGGGACACGUGGUAUCCUGUCUGAAUAUGGGGGGACCAUCCUCCAAGGCUAAAUACUCCUGACUGACCGAUAGUGAACCAGUACCGUGAGGGAAAGGCGAAAAGAACCCCGGCGAGGGGAGUGAAAAAGAACCUGAAACCGUGUACGUACAAGCAGUGGGAGCCUCUUUAUGGGGUGACUGCGUACCUUUUGUAUAAUGGGUCAGCGACUUAUAUUCUGUAGCAAGGUUAACCGAAUAGGGGAGCCGAAGGGAAACCGAGUCUUAACUGGGCGUUAAGUUGCAGGGUAUAGACCCGAAACCCGGUGAUCUAGCCAUGGGCAGGUUGAAGGUUGGGUAACACUAACUGGAGGACCGAACCGACUAAUGUUGAAAAAUUAGCGGAUGACUUGUGGCUGGGGGUGAAAGGCCAAUCAAACCGGGAGAUAGCUGGUUCUCCCCGAAAGCUAUUUAGGUAGCGCCUCGUGAAUUCAUCUCCGGGGGUAGAGCACUGUUUCGGCAAGGGGGUCAUCCCGACUUACCAACCCGAUGCAAACUGCGAAUACCGGAGAAUGUUAUCACGGGAGACACACGGCGGGUGCUAACGUCCGUCGUGAAGAGGGAAACAACCCAGACCGCCAGCUAAGGUCCCAAAGUCAUGGUUAAGUGGGAAACGAUGUGGGAAGGCCCAGACAGCCAGGAUGUUGGCUUAGAAGCAGCCAUCAUUUAAAGAAAGCGUAAUAGCUCACUGGUCGAGUCGGCCUGCGCGGAAGAUGUAACGGGGCUAAACCAUGCACCGAAGCUGCGGCAGCGACACUAUGUGUUGUUGGGUAGGGGAGCGUUCUGUAAGCCUGUGAAGGUGGCCUGUGAGGGUUGCUGGAGGUAUCAGAAGUGCGAAUGCUGACAUAAGUAACGAUAAAGCGGGUGAAAAGCCCGCUCGCCGGAAGACCAAGGGUUCCUGUCCAACGUUAAUCGGGGCAGGGUGAGUCGACCCCUAAGGCGAGGCCGAAAGGCGUAGUCGAUGGGAAACAGGUUAAUAUUCCUGUACUUGGUGUUACUGCGAAGGGGGGACGGAGAAGGCUAUGUUGGCCGGGCGACGGUUGUCCCGGUUUAAGCGUGUAGGCUGGUUUUCCAGGCAAAUCCGGAAAACCAAGGCUGAGGCGUGAUGACGAGGCACUACGGUGCUGAAGCGACAAAUGCCCUGCUUCCAGGAAAAGCCUCUAAGCAUCAGGUAACAUCAAAUCGUACCCCAAACCGACACAGGUGGUCAGGUAGAGAAUACCAAGGCGCUUGAGAGAACUCGGGUGAAGGAACUAGGCAAAAUGGUGCCGUAACUUCGGGAGAAGGCACGCUGAUAUGUAGGUGAAGCGACUUGCUCGUGGAGCUGAAAUCAGUCGAAGAUACCAGCUGGCUGCAACUGUUUAUUAAAAACACAGCACUGUGCAAACACGAAAGUGGACGUAUACGGUGUGACGCCUGCCCGGUGCCGGAAGGUUAAUUGAUGGGGUUAGCGGUAACGCGAAGCUCUUGAUCGAAGCCCCGGUAAACGGCGGCCGUAACUAUAACGGUCCUAAGGUAGCGAAAUUCCUUGUCGGGUAAGUUCCGACCUGCACGAAUGGCGUAAUGAUGGCCAGGCUGUCUCCACCCGAGACUCAGUGAAAUUGAACUCGCUGUGAAGAUGCAGUGUACCCGCGGCAAGACGGAAAGACCCCGUGAACCUUUACUAUAGCUUGACACUGAACAUUGAGCCUUGAUGUGUAGGAUAGGUGGGAGGCUUUGAAGUGUGGACGCCAGUCUGCAUGGAGCCGACCUUGAAAUACCACCCUUUAAUGUUUGAUGUUCUAACGUUGGCCCGUAAUCCGGGUUGCGGACAGUGUCUGGUGGGUAGUUUGACUGGGGCGGUCUCCUCCUAAAGAGUAACGGAGGAGCACGAAGGUUGGCUAAUCCUGGUCGGACAUCAGGAGGUUAGUGCAAUGGCAUAAGCCAGCUUGACUGCGAGCGUGACGGCGCGAGCAGGUGCGAAAGCAGGUCAUAGUGAUCCGGUGGUUCUGAAUGGAAGGGCCAUCGCUCAACGGAUAAAAGGUACUCCGGGGAUAACAGGCUGAUACCGCCCAAGAGUUCAUAUCGACGGCGGUGUUUGGCACCUCGAUGUCGGCUCAUCACAUCCUGGGGCUGAAGUAGGUCCCAAGGGUAUGGCUGUUCGCCAUUUAAAGUGGUACGCGAGCUGGGUUUAGAACGUCGUGAGACAGUUCGGUCCCUAUCUGCCGUGGGCGCUGGAGAACUGAGGGGGGCUGCUCCUAGUACGAGAGGACCGGAGUGGACGCAUCACUGGUGUUCGGGUUGUCAUGCCAAUGGCACUGCCCGGUAGCUAAAUGCGGAAGAGAUAAGUGCUGAAAGCAUCUAAGCACGAAACUUGC